Molecule: ribosomal RNA, 1467 nt
Filed under: Triticum aestivum (bread wheat)
Lineage: Eukaryota; Viridiplantae; Streptophyta; Magnoliopsida; Poales; Poaceae
Description: partial small subunit ribosomal RNA
Source: RNAcentral
AUGAUCCUAAAGGUCAGCAUGGAAGACCUUUCGUAUGAUUUGAAGAAUUGUUUCUUACACUGUGCAUUAUCCCAAGAAGAUUAUGUUGUAAAGAGGAAAAGGACAGUGAGGCAAUGGAUUGCAGCAGGGUUUAUCAGGGAAAAGGAAGAGAACAGAACAUUGGAGGAAGUGGCAGAAGGAUACUUGGCCGAGCUUGUGAACCGAAGCCUACUGCAGGUAGUGAAGAGGAAUCAUUUCGGACGACUGAAACAUUGUCGGAUGCAUGAUGUCAUACGCCUUCUUGCCCUCAACAAAGCCAAGGAGGAAUGCUUUGGUAAAGUUUAUGAUGGCUCUGCUGCUACUGGGGCAUUCUCUGUUGAGGGUGCACGUCGUAUAUCGGUACAGGGGGGAAACGUUGAACAAUUGAGCCGGUCUGGUGCAACACAGCUCCGUGCACUCCUCGUAUUUGAGAGGUGUAUCGAUAUUGAUUUGCUGAAGCCUAUCCUAACAUCUUCGAAUCUGCUGUCUAUGUUGGAUCUGCAAGGUACUCGUAUUAAAAUGCUGCCCGAUGAGGUAUUCAACUUGUUUAAUCUGCGUUAUUUGGGUCUUCGAGGUACGGAGAUCGAAAGCCUGCCUGAAGCAGUGGGGAGGUUACAAAACUUGGAAGUCUUGGAUGCUUGGGACUCUAAGCUGACAUAUUUGCCAAAAAAUGUUGUAAAACCUCAGAAGUUGAGAUACCUGUACAUAUAUGUCCAUGGUGCAUUCGAAAUUGGAGUCAAGGUCCCUAAUGACAUACAACAUUUGGUAGGACUGCGGGCUCUUCAGUGUGUCAAAGCCACUCCGAAGUUUCUCCGUGAAGUUGCAGCUCUGACAGAGCUAAGGUCAUUCAGUGCCUACCUCGUGAGAACAGAACACUCUGCUGACUUGAGCAACGCUAUCAUCAAAAUGAGCCAUCUUGUUCAUCUCGUACUUGUCACUGAUGCUGACGAUGAGGUGCUGCAGCUGGAAGGGCUAUAUUUACCUCCAACCCUUUCUUGGCUUGGUUUAGCAGGGCAGCUAGAAAAAACAUGGAUGCAUCAGCAUUUCUCUUUUUGGUCACACCUUAAUAGCCUUACUCGGUUGGAGCUAUCAUUCUCCAGUAUUGAUGAGCAAAACUUUUCCUGUCUGUUUGUGUUACAUGGUCUGCUCUUUCUUGUGCUACUGAAGGCCUUUGAAGGGAAGCGCUUGGAUUUUUACGCAGGGUCAUUUCCGAAACUUAAGCAUCUAUGGGUAUGGGGCGCGACACACCUCAACCAAGUGGGAAUAGAGGAGGGUGCGAUGCAAAACCUCGUCGAGCUAUUCUUCAUAGACUGUCCCGAGCUAAAGAUUCUUCCUGAUGGUAUCAAACACCUUGCAGCCCUUGAGAAAUUACUUCUGAAAGACACGUCAGAAGAGCUGGUAGAGAAGCUUCGCAGAAGAGAGAUUCAGAUGAAUGCAGCAAAGAUUUAA